This 1590-nucleotide ribosomal RNA is filed under the name Enteromyxum fugu. RNAcentral describes it as "SSU rRNA". It matches the Rfam family "Eukaryotic small subunit ribosomal RNA". Lineage: Eukaryota; Metazoa; Cnidaria; Myxozoa; Bivalvulida; Enteromyxidae. The record is from RNAcentral.
CUGGUUGAUUCUGCCAGUGGUCAUAUGCUCGUCUCAAAGASUAAGCCAUGCAUGUGUAAGUUCCAUAUGCGUUAUACGAUGAAACUGCGAAGCGCUCAGUAAAUCAGUUAUAGUCUAUUCGAUUAUAAAGCCAUGGAUAACUGUGGUAAAUCUAGAGCUAAUACAUAGAAAACCCUUCGGGGUGCAUUGAUUAGCAACCAAAAAUUUUGGUGAAUCUAGAUCACUGUGCAUAUCGUAGGCGGAAGCCUGGCGAUAGUUCGAUCGAAUUUCUGCUCUAUUAACUAGUUGGUGAGAUAGUGGCUCACCAAGGUAGUAAUGGAUAACGGGGAAUUAGGGUUCGAUUCCGGAGAGGGAGCCUGAGAAACGGCUACCACAUCUAAGGAAGGCAGCAGGCGCGCAAAUUACCCAAUCCAGACAUUGGGAGGUAGUGACGAGAAAUACCGGAGCAGUUCCAAUGGGAUUGCUAUCGGAAUAAGCGUAAUCUAUAACCUUCGUUGAGUAUUUAUUGGAGGGCAAGUCUGGUGCCAGCAGCCGCGGUAAUUCCAGCUNCCAAUAGUGUAUAUUCAAAGUUGCUGCAGUUAAAAAGCUCGUAGUUGGAUUACAAAGAGUUGAAGCUAUUGUGGUAUAUUUCUACAUAGAUUCGGCUCUUUUUAUUGCAGAGGCUAUUUAGGGAAUUAAUUUUCUUUAGAUAUCACCUCGCAAAGUGUGCCUUGAAUAAAACAGAGUGCUCAAAGCAAGCGUACGCUAGAAUGUAAUAGCAUGGUACGAAUAUGUUGACUUGAUCAGCUGUUGGUUGCUGAACAGGUCUAGAUUAAAAGGAACACUUGAGGGCGUUAGUACUUGGUGGCGAGAGGUGAAAUUCAUAGACCCACCAAAGACUCACUAAUGCGAAAGCAUUCGCCAAGACUGUUUUCAUUAAUCAAGAACGAAAGUUGGAGGUUCGAAGACGAUCAGAUACCGUCGUAGUUCCAUACAGUAAACUAUGCUACCAAGAAAUUAGCAUGUAAUGAUACAUGUUAGUCUCACCGGGAAACCAUAAGGUUUUGAGCUUUGGGGAGAGUACUGUCGCAAGGCAAAAAUUUAAAGAAAUUGACGGAAGGGCACCACCAGGAGUGGAGCCUGCGGCUUAAUUUGACUCAACACGGGGCAACUCACCAGGUCCGGACAUUGAAAGGAUUGACAAACUGACAGAUUUUUCAUGAUAUAAUGAUUGGUGGUGCAUGGCCGUUCUUAGUUGGUGGAGUGAUCUGUCAGGUUAAUUCCGGUAACGAGCGAGACCACAAUCUUUACUUGAUUACAGACCAAUUGUAGGUUCUGAUCGUAAAGAGACUACCGGUUCAACCCGGGGGAAGUGUGGCAAUAACAGGUCUGUGAUGCCCUUCGAUGUUCUGGGCUGCACGCGCGCUACAAUGGCAGCAACAGAAAGUUCCUGAUUUGAGAAAAUCGGGAAAUCUCUAAUUGCUGUCGUGAUUGGGAUUGAGCCUUGUAAUUAUUGCUCAUGAAAGUGGAAUUCCUCGUAAGCGCGUGUCAUCAACAUGCGUUGAAUACGUCUCUGCCCUUUGUACACACCGCCCGUCGCUAGUACAUCGG